Long non-coding RNA from Gopherus evgoodei (Goodes thornscrub tortoise), 303 nucleotides. RefSeq lists it as uncharacterized. The record is from RefSeq and is a predicted model, not a curated record. Lineage: Eukaryota; Metazoa; Chordata; Testudines; Testudinidae. The transcript has 3 exons.
AUGCUGCUUGUUUUAGUUGUGCUUGAUCUGAGACGUGCCAGUCUCCCAGCACCGCUUUGAGAUCUCAAAUAAACUUUGCUUGCUUCUCCACCCUGGUGUGGUUAUUGGCGCAAAGCACACCGGACAACGAAACCUGCUGUUGCUUCCCUCGGGCACUCUGUGAUGGCAACAUAAGGAUUGGUCUACACAGGGAAGUUUUACCAGCAGAAUUAUACCAGUAGAACUCCCCAUGUGGACACUCAGGAAUAAGAGUGUCUUUCUCUAGUUUAGUUGUAUUGCUUUGAAAGCACCAGAGGGACAUGA